ACAGCAGUCGCCACGGGAAUACAGAGGGUGCGAGCGUUAAUCGGAUUUACUGGGCGUAAAGCGUGCGUAGGCGGCUAAUUGAGUCGGAUGUGAAAUCCCCGAGCUUAACUUGGGAAUUGCAUUCGAUACUGGUUAGCUAGAGUGUGGGAGAGGAUGGUAGAAUUCCAGGUGUAGCGGUGAAAUGCGUAGAGAUCUGGAGGAAUACCGAUGGCGAAGGCAGCCAUCUGGCCUAACACUGACGCUGAGGUACGAAAGCAUGGGGAGCAAACAGGAUUAGAUACCCCUGUAGUCCCUGUCUCUUAUAC
RNAcentral lists this ribosomal RNA (305 nucleotides) under uncultured bacterium. RNAcentral describes it as "partial 16S ribosomal RNA". It matches the Rfam family "Bacterial small subunit ribosomal RNA", at positions 505 to 807 of the family's 1533-position model. The record is from RNAcentral.